RNAcentral lists this ribosomal RNA (305 nucleotides) under uncultured bacterium. RNAcentral describes it as "bacterial SSU rRNA". It matches the Rfam family "Bacterial small subunit ribosomal RNA", at positions 335 to 638 of the family's 1533-position model. The record is from RNAcentral.
UGUCCUACGGUAGGCAGCAGUGAGGAAUAUUGGUCAAUGGCCGAGAGGCUGAACCAGCCAAGUCGCGUGAGGGAAGACGGCCCUACGGGUUGUAAACCUCUUUUGUCGGGGAGCAAAGAGAGUCACGUGUGACUCAUUGAGAGUACCCGAAGAAAAAGCAUCGGCUAACUCCGUGCCAGCAGCCGCGGUAAUACGGAGGAUGCGAGCGUUAUCCGGAUUUAUUGGGUUUAAAGGGUGCGUAGGCGGAUUUUUAAGUCAGCGGUAAAAUGUCCGGGCUCAACCCGGGCCGGCCGUUGAAACUGGGG